RNAcentral lists this long non-coding RNA (448 nucleotides) under Sinocyclocheilus grahami. RNAcentral describes it as "lncRNA (ENSSGRG00000007131.1)". The record is from RNAcentral. Lineage: Eukaryota; Metazoa; Chordata; Actinopteri; Cypriniformes; Cyprinidae.
GAAAGCGUAAUUCGCAGCGCCGCUUUCGUACUCGGCAAUCAGGUUACGCGCUUCAGUUUAGCCAAUAGAAUUUUGCUUAGCGGGCAGCCAAUCGCAAUGCUCGGAAUUUGCCCACAGUGGCCCCGGCAGCCAAUAGGGAUCCGAGAAACAAAACCUCAGCUCAACAGCUUGUUAUUUCGUCCUAUGCCUUUGCAACCUAGUCGAAUGCUGAGCUGAAGCAGUCAUAUAGGAGCAUCAGUCAAAACCAUUCGAGCUGGACUCCCUCAAAUAGCCAUCAAGAUGAAGGUAGCAGAUGAACCUGCCUACCUGACUGUGGGGACGGAUGUGAGCGCAAAGUACCGUGGUGCCUUCUGCGAGGCAAAAAUCAAGACUGUUAAACGCAUUGUGAAAGUUAAGGUAAGUUUAAUCUAUCUGUAAGAUAUAAGUCUUAUCUGUUCAUCUUGUCAAG